RNAcentral lists this long non-coding RNA (1357 nucleotides) under Bos indicus x Bos taurus (hybrid cattle). RNAcentral's name for it is "lncRNA (ENSBIXG00005002295.1)". The record is from RNAcentral. Lineage: Eukaryota; Metazoa; Chordata; Mammalia; Artiodactyla; Bovidae.
AUGGGUUUUGCGGGCCCGGCUGGAGAGAUCUGUGGGCCUUCCUCUUUCGGCUCACUUUUCCUCCUCCCACCCUUCUCCCCGCCCCAAGCCUGUUAUUCCUACUUUUCCUCAACUCGCAUUCCUGCCUCCUCCCCUCUUCCCCCCUCCUUCCCCCUCACUCCCCCCACCCCUCAACUCCCUCUAUUCCUCUCCCUCUCUCCGUUCCUCCACCUACUCCUCCCCAUUCCAACUGCCCCCCCCCCGCCCCCCCGCAAAGCCCCCCUCCUCAUCACCACUUAUAAUGGCACACAAGGGCUCCCUCUGAGGUGGACGGCCCGAUGCAAGGGGAGUCUCUGGCCCGGUGACGUUUGGGAGUGAGCUGAACCCUUAUGGAGGCAUCCAGGUAUUUCCAGAGAUCCCGUGACUAUUGAGGUCUGCUCUCGCUCAAGCCAACUCGUCCGUAAUCCCUUCCUAACAGCAGGUAAUGGUGCUAACAUUUAGUGAUUAUAAGUUACUCUUUAGCGUGUUGUAUUCUUGUUCUGUGGGUUUUGGUUACAGGUUAUACGAUUAGGUUUGCGAGAACAGUAGUGAACUAAACUUCUCAGUGAGAGGUCUUCACACCAGGGAAGUGUUACUUUUGUGCAGCAGCCCUGCCUCAUCACUCAUUAGGGAGCUGCAGGUUGUCAAGCCGCUGCUCUUAGAGCGCGCGCACCCUGAAUAUCCCCAGGGGCGUGCAUAUGCGCGCGCAGAUACGCGCGCGUGUACAACACACACACACACACACACACACACACACACACACUCCCCUCACUAAAACUAAAUUAAGAAGCCGAUGAUUAAGACAAGCGUCUACUAGGCCUGUCAUUUCAGCAUCCUUCCAUCAUAACAUUGUGGCACCGGCAAUUUUGCUUGAGAACCUCGAGAAAAAAAAAAUCCAUGGGAGAGCCUUGAAUUUGAGCGUCGAGAUGCUUAACUUGUAAAAGCUAGGGAAACACUUCGGAAGCGAGAAAGUCCAAAGUUAAAAAAAUUGAAGAGAAGCAAGAGGAGGUCUGGAUAGAGACCCUGGGACUCCCCAGGCAGGUUUCUGUGACUCUGUCAGAGAGGUUCCAAGCUCUCUGAAGGCAAGCACGUACUCAUCCAAAGGAAUCAUCUUGGGACCUGCAACAAAAUACACUCCGGAGAAGCUUCUUCCCAUUGCUAACCCUGCAGACAGCCAAGUAUGGAGAAAUUCAUAAGGAAAUAUCACCACCCUAACGUCAAAGGACCCUCAAAAAGUCUCUGAACAACCUUUCAGUGGAACACUGCACAGAUCUUUUAAAUAUAAAACGCCCACUAGCCCUUUACUUGUUUCCCGUUAUUUGCCAGGGUGCUUGGGGUC